GACGAACGCUGGCGGCGUGCUUAACACAUGCAAGUCGAACGGAAAGGCCCUGCUUUUGUUGGGUGCUCGAGUGGCGAACGGGUGAGUAACACGUGAGUAACCUGCCCUUGACUUUGGGAUAACUUCAGGAAACUGGGGCUAAUACCGGAUAGGAGCUCCUGCUGCAUGGUGGGGGUUGGAAAGUUUCGGCGGUUGGGGAUGGACUCGCGGCUUAUCAGCUUGUUGGUGGGGUAGUGGCUUACCAAGGCUUUGACGGGUAGCCGGCCUGAGAGGGUGACCGGACACAUUGGGAAUGAGAUACGGACCAGACUCCUACGGGCGGCAGCAGUGGGGAAUAUUGCAGAACGGGCGGAAGCCUGAUGCCGCAACGCCGCGUGCGGGAUGACGGCCUUCGAGUUGUAAACCGCUUUCGAAUGUGACGAAGCGUGAGUGACGGUAAUGGGUAAAGAAGCACCGGCUAACUACGUG
RNAcentral lists this ribosomal RNA (468 nucleotides) under uncultured bacterium. RNAcentral's name for it is "partial 16S ribosomal RNA". It matches the Rfam family "Bacterial small subunit ribosomal RNA", at positions 28 to 507 of the family's 1533-position model. The record is from RNAcentral.